This is a non-coding RNA of Equus caballus (horse), 8545 nucleotides long. The record is from RefSeq and is a predicted model, not a curated record. Lineage: Eukaryota; Metazoa; Chordata; Mammalia; Perissodactyla; Equidae.
GGUCCUCACAUUUUGGCUCAGAAUAAACUCACCCCAAUUUUCAUUUAUAGAUUGGAUAUGGAUUAUUUGUGUCAACAAGAACCACAAGUGACACAAGUCAGCAAGUCUGGGCUCCUAAAGGGGUAAGUUAUGCAAAACUUCCUUUCUGAGCAACAUCUUCUCCAGAAGCCUGUGUGCAUUAGUCACGUCCCCUUUCACUCCGUGGUACCGCAGCCUCCUCUGCAGAGACUGGACCCUGAGCUGACAGACAGUCAGCCAUGCCUCCCCUGGGCCACCGGCCUCCGGCCAAACCAAGACAUGCAGUGGAGGUGGACUGGACAGCUCCACGUCGUCUGGAACUCUGGAUUGCAACCCCAACUUGGAAGGGCACUUCCUGUGCUUUUGGCACGAGUCACCUCACCUUGCUGGGCUUGUCUGUAACACAGCCGGCAGGGCACGCGGCUGGGCUGCUGCCCAGGAUGCUUUUCUACCCGGAGACUGUGAUUCAGAGCUGGCAGUGAAUUCGGCUGGGAGGCCUGCCCCAGUGCCAUCAUUUAAGGGAAGCCCAUUGUGACAGCCAAGUUAAAAAGGGAAACAUGAAUUUCUGAGUCCCCGCCGGGUUCCUGGAACUUGCCUCUUUGAGACUUGUCUUCCUGAUCUCUAAAGCGGGGGCAGCACUUCUCAUGGCUCUUGGGAACUUAGAAUGAGGUAUGUGCUCAUUCACUCAUUCAUUCAUUCAACAAAUAUUACAAGGCCUCUCCUGAGCCAGGCACAGUGCUAGGUGUUAGAGAGACAGCAGUGAACAACAGAGGCAGGGGUCUGUCCUUGGGGAGCUUAGGCUCUGGGGGAGCAGACAUGAAACAGAUGCAUCAAGAGGGAUGAGAGGACGGCCUGGCCUGAGGGGAGGGCCCGUGGGGCGCCAGGGCCUUGGCUGUGAGGGUAAGACUCUGUACUGGGUUUUAAGAGCACCAGGAGGAGCAGGGCACGACCCCAUUUCUGUUUGGAAAUGCUCUCUCUGGCUGCCGAGAGAAGGAGAGCAGAAGGAGGGGCCAGGCCCAGGGCAGAGAGGUGAGCUGGCCAGAGGGGUGUGGGGCACCUGCAUCCCUUUGCACCUCUUCUCCAGAGGUCUUUCUCCAGGUGCCUGGGAGCACCGCCGCCUGGGCGCAGGGCUCUGCAGGAAUGAGGCGCGCCCUCCGCAGAGGGAGACUGCAGAUCUCCAGGUGCUUGUGAAUGUUAUUUCCCUGCCAUGGGAGAUUACCCAGAGCAAGAGAGUGUGGAAAAGGGACCCAAGAGCCCCAGGCAGAGGUCCAGAGAUAGGGGUCUAUUCCCAGACUCAGAUAGGUCGCUUGUCUCCCUGUGCCUUAGUUUCCCCAACUGCCAUCCAUGGGACUAGCACUGAGUCUGGGCUAAGUUCAAGUCCAGGCAGCACUUCACUGUGGAAGGAGCUGGGGCUUUGGGGUCACAGGGGCUUGAGCUCGACCCUAGCUCUGCACACAUGAGGCCGAGGGGCCGAGGCCGGCUGCUAUGCUUCUGGAAGCCUGCUGCUGGCCAGGGGCCCACACUUUGAGAGCCACUGCCCCAGAAUAACAUCCUUCAGGGAUCAGGGCCUCUGCUUGGCUCAGUGUUGGGCCCUGAACAGUGCUGGCCCACAGCCAACCCUUGGUGAGUGCCUGUGGGUGAACAGACUCUGAGUGGCUUGUUUGACGGGGACAGAGGGGGUAGAGGGUGGGUGUGGGCCUGGGGAGGGCGGCAGAAGGUAGUCAGGGACCAAAUCAUGAAGGGUCUCUAAUGCCAGGUUAAGGAGCUGGGACCUUGUGGCAGCUGGAUGUGGUCUCCAGAGAUGUCCACAGCCCCAUUGCUGAACCUGAGAAUGUUACCUCACAUGGCAAAAAGGACUUUGCAGACGUGAUUAAGUUAAGGAAUUUGGGAUGGGGAGGUUAUCCUGGACUAUCCUGGUGGGCUUUAAAUGUGCCCUUAUAAGAGGGAGGCAGAGGCAGCUUUGGCUAUAGAAGAGGAGAAGAUGUGACCAUGGAGGCAAGAGGCUGGAGUGAUGUGAGGAAGGGGCCGUGAGUGUGGGCGGCCCCCAGAGGCUAGAAAAGACAAGGAAAUAGAUCCUCCUGUGAAGCCCCAGAAGGAACCAGCGCUGCCACCACCUUGAUGUCAGACUCCUGCGCUCCUGGACUAUAAGAGAAUACAUUUGUGUUGUUUUCAGCCACCAACUUCAUGGUCAUUUGUUGCAGCAGCCCUAGGAAACGAUCAUGGGCCUAUAUCUAGUAGGAGCAGAGGAAGCUGCUGGGCAGGGGUGUUGGAGCAGACAGGGCGUCCAGGGGAGAGGUGAUGGGGGCGGGGGGCAGAGGCAGCCAGUCGGGGUCAGGAAGGGGCAGGCAGAAAAUCCUUCUUCGGAGGUGGCCGCUGGUUUGCAGCAGGGAAGGGAGGACUGGCCAGCUCAGCAGUCUCUCCUGGAGGCUCCCUUCCCCCCACCAAGGGCAGGCCCAGAUCAGUCCUAGGAAUUCUAGGCUCAGGCACACACUCCUGCCCCCUUGGCAACGAUAGGGCUUUCGGUCAAGUCAACACUGGCUUUUGUUCCCACUGGGAGAACAGGAAAGACACGCUAUCAGUCAUGGGGGAAGCUGGGAGCUGACCUUAUGGAGGGCCACACGAGGCCCUGAACGUCCUGACAGCCCAGUGGGAAAAUUAUCCUCUGGCUGUUCCUGUUUCCUGCACCCCCAUGUCCCUGCCAUGAUCUGAAGCCCUCUGACUGGUUCCCCAUCCUCCUCUGCCAAACCCCUCUGCCCACGCUCCCGGGGGGCUGGAGGAGAGAGCACGGCUGUGGACCCGAGGAACAGGUACUCCACGGCUGCUGUGUGUGACCAGGACAUGGCCUUUUGGCUGGUCUUAGCUUCUCCACAGCCCCCACCCAGGGCGGCCAUGAGGAUCAGAGGAGAAGCGAGCAGAGGAGAAGUGUGUCCCCAGAGGACAGUCAGUGAGGGGGGUUGCUAUUUCUGCUGAUGCUCAGAUCUUGGCUUUGGCUGACUCCCUAGCUUGUUGCUUGGGCAAUUUACUUAACUUCUCUGAGCCUCAGUGUUCCCACCCGUAAAGUGGAAACCAAACAACCACUUACUCCACAGGGUUGUGUGAAAAAAGAGAUGAGGCCAUGCGUCUACAGGGCCUUCACCAUCUGCAUUUAAAGCUCAACUCAGAGGUCUGCUCCCUGGCCCGUGCACUGCCUCAUUCGGGUGCCCAGUGCCCUGGGUUUCAGUCCUUGGCACAUGCUGCACUGCACCAUUGCCAGCCUGCUCCUCAGCUGGACUGCGAGCCAUCACAGCCACAUGGCCAGGAAAUAGCCUUCAUGCGCUCUCUGUAUGUUUACCGUGUGCCUUCCCGGGGCAGACACUGUGCUGGGUUCUGAGGAUGGAGCGGUGAGUGCAACAGAGACAGACUUCUAGAAGCUCCUGUCGUGGCGGGGGAGAGAAACGUGAACAGGUCGCUGUGGAGCUGCUCACUGAGCUGCAGUCGUGUUAGGAGUCCUAUAAAGGGGAGCAUAUGGCGCCUCAGGAAGCCACAAGGGCGACCGAUCUGGUCUGGGGGAUAUCUGAGUUGAGCUCUGCACCUGCGGGAAGGAGGAAACUCAGCGAAAAUGAGGGACAAGCAGGUUCCAGACAGGGAACUGUCCCUGCAGAAGCUCAGCGGCAGGAGACAGUGGAUUCUAACCCAGAGCCACGGGAGCCUCAGGGGGGUCGGGGGGUGAGCGGAGUGGAAGGCAGUGGGCUACUACGCAUCUUCCUCUCCGCUGCACACCAGGGCCCAGGGUGUGGCAGCUGGGGGCAGGCCUGGGUCCGACCCUGCUGACCCCCACAGUUAUCACUGCAGGUCAUGAGACACCGCUGUCACUGGGUCCCAGGAAGGUAGUUCCUUGUGUUUAUGAGCCAUAAUUUCUCAGAACUUUCCCCCAAAAUCGGCCAUUCCAAAUGUUCUGGGUACCUGUGCUGAGGGCAUCAGAAAUCGGCCCAGCCUCAACCCCUGAGGAGCUCUGCCCCUGCCAGGAGUCCCAGACAGCCCGAGAAGCAGGGGCUACGUCAGUGGGGCAACGUUCACUCUUUAAGGAGAGCACCGAGCCUCUGCAAGCCCCAGAGGGGCCACACUCACACGAGGCACUGAACAAAGUGCUUGAGGUCUGGAGGUGGGGCCUGAACCGGCUCUGGCUGCCAGGAAGCUCUUCUUCUCCCUUACAGAUGCUGGACCCAGGUGCAGCCCCACCUGAGAAGUGCCCACAGCACCCACUGCUGGGAGCUCAGGGGCCCCUGCUCACUGCAACUCCGGAGCCUGAGGCAAGCUGUGGGGUGGGGGCCGAGGGACAAGGGGGUCCAGCAUCCUGCAGUUCAGAUACUGCCAAGUGAUGGGUAAUUGGGGCCAUGGUGGGGCAACGAGGGGUUGGGGGAACUCAGAGGAACGGAGUUUGGCUCUGCAGGCGGUGGCGGCAACAGUUUUGUGUGUGUGUGUGUGUGUGAGCAUGUGUGAGCACACAUAUGCCAAAGGCAACAUUCUAAUGGGCCUGGAAGACCCCAUGAAUGUUGAAAACACUCACAGUGCUGAGCCGGCAGGUGCACGUCUAGGAGACCGUCCUGGGAUUCCCCACAACACUGUGAGCGUUAGCAGGGGCUGGAACCGGUGGGAAAGUGCACACGCAGCGUGCCAUGCGGCCAUCCGAAAGAUGCACCAGGUUGUCUGGGUGAUGAGGGAUGGUGUCCAAACGUGCACCGAGUGAGACAUCUGAAGGGAAGCCAACUCAUGAGCAAGCCUGGUGCAUUUGCCUCUGAAACUCACACCCCCAGGGUGUGUUCGCCUUCCCUGGCCGCAGCCACCACGCUGGUCUCAUCCAAGUCAGCACCAUGUCCCGCCUGGACUUUCGUGACGGCUCUUGACUGGCCUCCCUGCUGCUCCCUUUACCCACCAACACCACCACCGGCUUAUGUCUCGCCUGUGUGUCCCAUUGCACCCUCUGCUCAGCUCACAAGGCCCCACAGAUGUGCACCCACCUCUCUGAUCUCCUACCUCACCCCCGGGCCUCAGUGGAUACCUGGCUGCACUGACCUUGUUCCGGUGCCCUGGACGUGCUGCUCACUCCACCCUGGAGCUCUGCUGUGAUCCACGCCGACAUGGACAGUCACAUCAGGCUGCAAAAUCAGCUCCACAGCGGGCCCUCCUUGACCCCCGCAGCUGCUCCCUCACCUCUGUCCUAGCCCCCUUCAUUUGGCUUCCGCAGCACCAUUUUUCCCUGGCAUUUUCCUGGCUUCCCUAUUUGUUCAUUAUUUCUCUCUCCCCACUGAAAGUGAGCGCUGCUGAGGGCCAGGAUCCCUGCUGCCUUGUUCCCCGACAGGCACUUCAGGGCGGCUCAAUUAAUACCUACUGGAUUGCCUAAAGGCAGAUUGAAAACAACCAUCGUAACAACAUCAUAUCCCAUUUAUCGGGCACUUUGGAAGCGCCAAUCUUUACAUGCUUUAUCACGUUUAAUCUCUGCAACACAUACUACACGUACGCCGUUACUCAUCUCUGUUUGACAGAGGAGGAAAUCAAGGUUUAUGGUGCUGUGUGACUUGGCAAAAGUCCCCAGCCGGCAGCAGGCCGGCAGAUGUGGGAAGGCCUGCGGAGGGCGGUCUCAGGGCAGGAGUUGGACUGUGCCAAACGAAGAUCUGCCUUGUCCUUCUGGGGGAGGCGACGUUGCAGUGUUGCAGCGAGGCCCAAACCUCUGCCAUCCAGCGGCAGAACUGGCCGGGGAGGCAGGGACCGGGUGGAGAGGGCAUGGGCUGGGAAUCUGGACCCUGCGGGUGAGUCCCUGUGGGAGUCUGACUUGCUGUGUUACCUCUGGCGAGUUUCACACCCCAGGUUCCUCCGCAGAAAGCUGGGAACAUGUGCUUUGGAUGGCAAAGGCCUCUUCCAGCAACUUUUGUUUGUGUGUGUGGGAGGGAAGGAAUCCGAGCCCCGCAGAUGACAAAAUUGGAGGGCUCUGGGUGGAAACAAGACACAGGGGUCACCCGGUGUUUAGGAACUGCUUUUACAGCAUCCCAGAGAGGCAUACCUCCAACGACAGGGGGCUUACUAUCUUACAACUUAUUUGUCAGUCAGUCAUGGCCAUUUAAAGACAUUUAUGGAGACCUACAUAUUCUUUUUUUUUUGGAGGCCAUACCCUACGGCAUAACAAAUAUAUUGUGAUAUAUGCACAUUCCAUAGAAGAUAUAAUUUGCAUAUAACUACUUUUGGGUUUUUUUGGUGAAGGAGAUUGUCCCUGAGCUAAUAUCUCUUGCCAAUCGUCCUCUCUUUGCUUGAGGAAGAUUGUCACUGAGCUAACAUCUGUGCCAAUCUUCCUCUUUCUUAUGGGGGCUGCUGUAAGAGAGGGGCUUGACAAGCGGUGCUAGGUCUGCGCCCGGGAUCCAAACCUGUGAACCCUGGGCCACUGAAGUAGAGCGUGCAAACUUAACCGCUGCGCCACCAGGCCAGCCCCACAUAUAGCUACUUAAUAUAAACUGCCACGGCCUAGCUGCCACAGUAUUACAUUUGCAGAUGUCUGAUUAAACAUUUAUUACUUGCAAGUUUGUGGUUUUCUUUUUAUGUUUUAGAUCUGGUACGUGUGUGCGUGUGUGUGAGAAAGAGAGAGUUUGUAGAUAUUUUGUAGGUUCCUGAAAAGCUCAGAGGCCCCGGAGAACAAGCCUAAGUCCCUUUUUCCAGGCAGCCCUAGAGAGGUCCAUGUUCUCUGAGUUUUUGCUUCUCUAUGACUGAACAGCCCUCAGGUCCUUAAACUUGACCCAUCAGCAUCACCAUUGCCAUCAUGGCUACUACUGUCCUCACCAUCAUCCCACCAUCAUCACCAUCCCAUUCACCACCAUCUGCACCAGCAGCAGCCGCUGCCUCAUGAGCUGGGCACCAGAAUGUCCCCCCCAACACUGCAUCUUCCUUCCUCUGUUCUGCUUUCCGCGGGCCUCACUCCAGGAAGGUCUUGCCCUCCAGCAGGGUGCAGCUUGCUCUCACAGGCAGCAGUCCUGCAGCCAGCUGGGCCACCUUAACGCUAUCAGCAGCCCACAGUCAAAACUUGCCAGGCACAUUCGCACACACCGGUUACCUCACAUAAUUCUCUCGGCCCUUCCCUGCUUUCCACCGCCCCUCCGCCUGCCCCGGGGCUCAUUUUGAGUCCUGUAGGAGAACUCUGUGGAGUGCCAGGGCAGACACUGUUACCCCAUUUUGCAAGUGUGGCACAGAUAGGCUGAAUGCCUAGGCCGAGGCCACACAGCUGGUCGCAGUCGGGAAGACCCUCUCGGCUUCUAACUCCCGACAGCCUAUCCCGUCCCACACCUCCUGGGUUUCUCAAACCUCAUCUGUUCACGUUCCACCUCCACAAUUUUUGCCAAACCCGUAAAAUACUAGUUCCAUUUUUUACCUAACAUUUUUCUUUAAAGUGACUAAAUUUAUUGCAAAAGGAAUUUUUUUUAUCAUUUUAAUAACCACCAGGAUCACUUCCCUUCAAAUAAGUCACCCUGAAAAUAAAUGCAGUGAAAACACACCCAAUGUUGUUAUAUUCCAUGUAGCUGCUGCUGCCCAAGAGCCAGCCCAGCCCCGUGCUGGGCAGGCAGAUGGACGGACGGACAGACGGACGGACAGACAGAAACCUCACUGACAUUUUUCUGUGAUGUGAGAGAAGGCUUGAAGGAGAACGGAACAGGCAUCUUCUCACCGUAUGAUGGGAGGUUUGUGGCUCUCUAUGCCACGACCCCCUGAGUCCACCUCGGGAUCCCAGGCGGCCUGCCCCACAGUGGAGGAAGCAGUUCACUCACCCCAGGAGGCCAAGGCCGUGGAGGGGAAAGGAGCCGGGAUCCUCUCUGAGGCUUCGUUUUCCCCCCACAGCACGGGGUGCUGGGAAGAGGAAGGUAAAGGUGGAGAGAUGGUGCCAGAAGCUUUGUGGCUCCCCGGCAAACAUUACUCCCCUCCCCACGGCCAUCCUCUGGGCUUCAUGUCCCACCUUUCCUUCGAGAGAAGGCACCCAAGGUCGCCAGAUGAAGAAGGAGCCAGGAGAAGAAAUGAGCCGCGAGGAAACACGGGUCUGCAUUUGGGAGCGUCCGAGUGCAGGCGGCUGGGUGAGGCUAGAGCGGCUGUUUGGGUGCGAAGGCUGCCCCUCACCCCACCCCCAGAGCAGCCCCCAGGACCCUGGUGAGAAAAAGGGUCUUCACAGCAGCACAGCGUGUCCUAAUCCCAGCUCUGCCGCUCAGUGAGGAGAGCUAGCCAGGUGGCUUUGCCUAGGGCCCGCUUUCCCUUCUGCAACCAAUGCAAAUGAAACCCAGGGUGAUACCACUGCACACCCACUGGGAUGGCUAGAAUCCAGAAGUCAGAUAAGAAGUGUUGGUGAGGAUGUGGAGAAACCGGACCCCUCACGCACGGCUGGUGGGAAUGUAACCGGACGCAGCUGCCGUGGAAAACGCUCUGGCAGUUCCUUCAGAGGCUAAAGAGCAUGAUCACAGGACCCAGCAAUUCCACUCCUGGGUAUGUACCCAAAAGAAAUGGAAAUACACAUCCUCACAAA